Long non-coding RNA from Pan troglodytes (chimpanzee), 3894 nucleotides. RefSeq lists it as uncharacterized. The record is from RefSeq and is a predicted model, not a curated record. NCBI's taxonomy places the organism in Eukaryota, Metazoa, Chordata, Mammalia, Primates, Hominidae. The transcript has 3 exons.
CCCGCUUCAGCCUCCCAAAGUGCUAGGAUUACAGGCGUGAGCCACCGCGCCCGGCCGAGGUUAAUUUAUUAUUGAAGAAAGAAAAAUGUUUCUAAAAACAGAUUUAGUGUAGCCUAAGUGUACAGUGCUUAUAAAGUCUUCAGGAGUCAUGUCUUAGGCCUUCGCAUUCACCCACCACUCACUCACAGACUCACCCAGAGCAAUUUCCAGGCCCGCAAGCUCCCUUUGAGAGGUGACAACGGUACUAGCAGCCCUCACUCGCUCUCGGUGCCUCCUCAGCCUCGGGGCGCUUGAGGAGCCCGUCAGCUCACCGUUGCACUGUGAGAGCCCCUCUUUGGGCUUGGCUGAGGCCGGAGCCGGCACCCUUUGCUUGCCCGGAGGUGUGGAGGGAGAGGCGCCGUUGGGGGGGGGGGAACCAGGGCUGCAUGCGGCGCUGGCGGGCCAGCGCGAGUUCCAGGUAGGCGUGGGUUUGGCGGGCCCUGCACUCGGAGCGGCCAGCUGGUGCCGCCAGCCCGGGGCAGUGAGGGGCUUAGCACCCGGGCUAGCAGCUGCGGAGGGUGCGCUGGGUUCCCCAGCAGUGCCGGCCUGCCGGCACUGCGCUCAAAUUCUCACUAGGCCUCAGCUGAUUGACUAGGUGAAACCAGCUGGGCUCCUGAGUCUAGUGGGGACUUGAAGAAUCUUUAUGUCUAGCUAAGGGAUUGUAAAUACACAAAUUAGCACUCUGUAUCUAGCUCAAGGUUUGUAAACACACCAAUCAGCACCUUGUGUCUAGCUCAGGGUUUUUGAAUGCACCAAUCAGCGCUCUGUGUCUAGCUAAUCUUGUGGGGACUUGGAGAAUCUUUAUGUCUAGCUAAGGGAUUGUGAAUGCACCAAUCAGCACUCUGUAUCUAGCUCAGGGUUUGUAAAUACACCAAUGGACACUCUGUAUCUAGCUAAUCUGUUGGAGACGUGCAGAACUUUUCUGUCUAGCUCAGGAACUGUAAACGCACCAAUCAGCACCCUGUCAAAAUGGACCAAUCAGCUCUCUGUAAAAUGGACCAAUCAGCAGGAUGCGGGUGGGCCAGAUAAGAGAAUAAAAGCAGGCUGCCUGAGACAGCAGCAGCAGCAGGCUCUGCUCGCUUUUCGUUCUGUGGGCGCUUUGUUGUUUUGCUUUUCGCAUAUAAAUCUUGCUACUGUUCACUCUUUGGGUUCACACUGCAUUUAUGAGUUAUAACACUCACCGUAAAGGUCUGCAGCUUCACUCCUGAAGCCAGGGAGACCACUAACCCACUGGGAGAAAAGAACAACUCCGGACCCGCCGCCUUAAGAGCUGUAACACUCACCGCGAAGGUCUGCAGCUUCACUCCUGAGCCAGCGAGACCCUGAACCCACCAGAAGAAAGAAACUCUGAACACAUCUGAACAUCAGAAGGAACAAACUCUGGAAGAACUGUAACACUCACCGCGAGGGUCCGCGGCUUCAUUCUUGAAGUCAGUGAGACCAAGAACCCACCAAUUCCAGACACACCUUCAUAAGAGAGUCUCACUCUGUCGCCCAGGCUGGAGUACAGUGGCGCAAUCUCGGCUCACUGCAACCUCUGCCUCCCAGGUUCAAGAGAUUCUCCUGCCUCAGCCUCCCAAGUAGCUGGGAUUACAGAUAGUGCCCUCCCUCUGGGAAGCUGCUGACAAAGUCCAACAAUAUGGCUCAAAUAAGAAUCCAGAGGGCAUGGAUAGUUGAAGUGGAUUCUCUCUCAUGCAUUAAAGAGAAGAGAAACAACCAGAUGACUUGUUAACUAAAGGGGAGGGUGAUACUUAAAUUAAGAAAGCUGAGCUGCAUGAAUUGAUUUAUUCAUUCAACUGAUAUUUAUUGAAUACCUACUAUGUGCCAGACACUGUUCUAGGCCUCGAGGAUGCAGAAGUGAGCAAGACAGGGGAAGAAAAGCUCCUGACAUAUGGAGCUUACAUCCUAGUUGGGAGAUACAGGCACACACAAGCAAAACGAAUGUUCACCCGUGACAGUGGCAGCUUGGGCAGCAGCAGUUCUCCCUAUGACAUUUCCUUUUGCCUCCAAAAGCUUCACCCAUGGACAAGACACAAGCAAUUUUUAACCAAUGAUCAAUGCUCUUACCAAAUGGCUGUUUCCCAGCAUAGAGUCCACCCCACCAGGGCUCUGAAGGGAUCCUCCUACACAUAAACAUCAUUCUUCCCUCCCUCUCUUUCCUCCUGCCUCAUCAGAAUUGUUUGCAAACUUGUUUCUAGACCCUCUGAUGAAGUUGAGAGAAACUGAGGCAAAAUCCCCCAUCACUAAGUUUUUCAAGGAUCCCUUAAAAAGUGAGGGGCAGAAACAGGAAGACUUUUGGGAUUAAGGUAUUUCUUUCCCAACUGGCAUUUUGAAGUUUGUGAAAUGUUUAGUAUAUUCAAAGCUAUCAGAAAAGGCAUUCAGAAAGAGGGGCUCUGGUUUUGUGUUUCUGGAAAUUGACCUGAGAAAUGUGAAGGGGUGAUAUAUGGGGAGAGGAUACUCAGUGUUAGGACUGGGAUACCAAUGGUUAGAAGUGACAGAGUGACAGAAAGGCAGAGUCCAGUUCAAUUUGAGAAAGAACUCCCUGGCUGUCAGAGCAGUCUAAUAAUGGAAUGCAGAGCUCAAACAUGGCUAAUGGCCGCUUGAGGGAUUGUUAGACAGCAGUGAAGCUUCUGAAGGAGGAAUUAACUAAGUGACCUUUAUGGUCUCUUGCAACCCUGAGGAGGCUAUGAUUUAACUAAGCAUUCCAGAAAAUUGUAAUAUACUCAAGUUGAAUGUGAUAUACUUGAAACUUCAUGUGCCAAACAAUAUAGUAUUAACAUGUGAAGAAACUGACAGAAACAACAGUAGUGGGAAACUUUACCACAUUUCUUUUUCUAUAAAAGCAAAUGAGAACAUAACUAUAAUUGAGAAAAUUUCUAUACAUUCUUAUAGGUUGAAAUACAACAGACUACAUCUUCUGUCCACAAUGUAAUAAACCCAGACAUAAAUAAGCAAAACUAAACAGUAGUGGAUACCUUUUCAUGUGUCCAAUCUGUUCACAGUAACGAAUCCCUGUCCCUUCUCUUCCAUAACUCCUCCCACAUUUUGGUUUUCAGCAACAACUUAGUACAAAAUGAUCCCACUUCCCUGGCCUUGACUGAUUGACUUAAGAUUGGACACCUGAUCCAGAUGGGCCAGACCUGCUUCCCUGAAAAUCUGGAAUUUGAGGCACAGAGAUAGGAAUAUCAUCUCUCAGGUCGCUGGACCUACAAAUUUGAGAACUAUAUUUGAGAACUAUCAGUGAUUGUGAUCUGCCAUGUGAAUUCAAGAAAGAAGAAACUGGUUGGCAAAAAACAAAACAAAACCCCAAACCACUAUAGAAACAAUGAAAUAGGCCAGGCAUGGUGGCUCACAUCUGUAAUCCCAGCACUUUGGGAGGCUGAGGCACGUGGAUCACCUAAGGUCAGGAGUUCAAGACCAGCCUGGCCAACAUGGUGAAACCCUGUCUCUACUAAAAAUACAAAUAUUAGCCAGGCAUGGUGGCGGGCACCUGUAGCUCCUGCUACUUGGGAGGCUGAGGCAGGAGAAUCGCUUGAACCCAGGAGGUGGAGGUUGCAGUGAGCCAAGAUCGUGCCACUGCGCUGCAGCUUGGGUGACAGAGCUAGACUCCGUCUCAAACAAACAAACCCAGAAACAAUGAAAUAGAUACGUAGGAGCGAGCAGAGAUCAGAGAGAAGCUCCCGAUGAUUUACCAGUUGCUGAUUUAUGCCCUUUUAAGAGUCUCAAUGCAUUUUUGCUCUUGGAGUACACAAGGUCCUUAUAUCCUUAUAACAAUUCCCAUCUUUCACUUAAGUCAAUUGGGGUUAUUUUCCUUGCAAUCAGAGAAUUCUGACUCAUAAGAAUAAACAAACUUCA